UACGUAGGGGGCAAGCGUUAUCCGGAUUUACUGGGUGUAAAGGGUGCGUAGGUGGCAGGGCAAGUCAGAUGUGAAAGCCCGGGGCCCAACCCCGGUACUGCAUUUGAAACUGUCCGGCUGGAGUGCAGGAGAGGUAAGCGGAAUUCCUAGUGUAGCGGUGAAAUGCGUAGAUAUCAGGAGGAACAUCGGUGGCGAAAGCGCUUUACUGGACCAUUAUUGACGCUGAGGAACGAAAGCCAGGGGAGCAAAUGGG
RNAcentral lists this ribosomal RNA (253 nucleotides) under uncultured Eubacteriales bacterium. RNAcentral's name for it is "uncultured Clostridiales bacterium partial 16S ribosomal RNA". It matches the Rfam family "Bacterial small subunit ribosomal RNA", at positions 524 to 776 of the family's 1533-position model. The record is from RNAcentral. Lineage: Bacteria; Bacillati; Bacillota; Clostridia; Eubacteriales.